CCUACGGGAGGCAGCAGUGGGGAAUAUUACACAAUGGGGGAAACCCUGAUGCAGCGACGCCGCGUGAGUGAAGAAGUAUUUCGGUAUGUAAAGCUCUAUCAGCAGGGAAGAAAAUGACGGUACCUGAUUAAUAAGCCCCCGCUAACUACGUGCCAGCAGCCGCGGUAAUACGUAGGGGGCAAGCGUUAUCCGGAUUUACUGGGGGAAAAGGGAGCGUAGACGGCAGCACAAGUCUGGAGUGAAAGGGCGGGGCUUAACCCCGGUACUGCUUUGGAAACUGUGCAGCUAGAGUGCAGGAGAGGUAAGUGGAAUUCCUAGUGUAGCGGUGAAAUGCGUAGAUAUUAGGAGGAACACCAGUGGCGAAGGCGGCUUACUGGACUGUAACUGACGUUGAGGCUCGAAAGCGUGGGGAGCAAACAGGAUUAGAUACCCGAGUAGUC
Molecule: ribosomal RNA, 440 nt
Filed under: uncultured bacterium
Lineage: Bacteria
Description: partial 16S ribosomal RNA
Rfam family: Bacterial small subunit ribosomal RNA
Source: RNAcentral